RNAcentral lists this ribosomal RNA (717 nucleotides) under Triticum aestivum (bread wheat). Its description in RNAcentral is "partial small subunit ribosomal RNA". The record is from RNAcentral. Lineage: Eukaryota; Viridiplantae; Streptophyta; Magnoliopsida; Poales; Poaceae.
AUGUUUUUGGUAUGGUCUGCUUAUUCUGUGGAGUGGAACUAUCAGUAUGGGAGCAAAUUAAAAUAUUCCAACGGGAUGGGACGGAGCACACCUAACCCUGUGUGGUGUCAGAUAUGGAAGUUAUCUUGUCCGGCUAAAGUCAUUUUUUUAUGGCGGACACUACAUGGUACUCUCCCAUGUCGGGAAACACUCACUAAUAGACACAUGAAGGUCUCGCCCGCUUGCACUACAUGCUCUCAGGGUGUAGAAGAUACGAAGCACUUGCUUUUCCUAUGUAGAAAAGCGAAGGAGAUUUGGAAAAAGCUAGGGUUGGAUAUUAUUAUUGAGAGAGCUUGUGAGAUUGAUCGUGCUGGAGAGGCAAUACUGGAAUACUUAUUACUCCUUCCAGAUCAAGAUCUGCGCAUUAUGGGGUACGAAAAUGUUCGAGAAAUGAUAGCUAUCUCUGCUUGGUAUCUAUGCUGGGAAAGACGGAAAUUAAUGCACAAGGAAUUCACUCAAAAUGCGACUCAGAUCUCAAUGGGGAUCAUAGCUCUUACAUAUAAUUUUGUAAAUGCCUCAUCUUCAAAGGCGUCCAUGAAAAAUGGGGGAUGGAAAUGUCCUCCUAGGGGCUUUGUGAAACUCAAUGUUGACGCCUCUUUUGACCAUGAUUUGCUGGAGGGUACGAUGGGGGCAGUAUUGAGAGACGACUGUGACGCUCCCGAUUUGACCGUACACUAA